Medicago truncatula (barrel medic) is the source of this 359-nucleotide long non-coding RNA. RefSeq lists it as uncharacterized. NCBI's taxonomy places the organism in Eukaryota, Viridiplantae, Streptophyta, Magnoliopsida, Fabales, Fabaceae. The record is from RefSeq and is a predicted model, not a curated record. The transcript has 2 exons.
GUUUACCAACAUGGCUCACAUUGUAGCUUUUGUUACUAUUUUUCUCAUAACAAUGUGUCCAAUUUCUUCAUCAAUAUCUUGUGAUAAUGUAUAUUGGGAUUUUGUAACAUGUCUUUGGUACCUUGCAGCUUAUGAAUCCGAACCAACAACACGUUGUUGUAAAACUGUAGCAAAACAAUACGAAGAAAGUAUUUGUGAAUGUAUUGAGAAUUUGGGAAAUGAUUUAGAUAUUCGUUUUGAUCUCUCUCGUAUUGAUGAUCUUCCAAACAAGUGUCAUGAACCAAAAUCUUUGAAUUGUUCCAAGAUUAAUCACUGAAUGGAGAAAGCUUGUUUUGGUGAAUAAGGGGAAGUGUGAAAAA